RNAcentral lists this ribosomal RNA (355 nucleotides) under uncultured bacterium. Its description in RNAcentral is "bacterial SSU rRNA". It matches the Rfam family "Bacterial small subunit ribosomal RNA", at positions 29 to 409 of the family's 1533-position model. The record is from RNAcentral.
AACGAACGCUGGCGGCAGGCCUAAAACAUGCAAGUCGAGCGGGCAUAGCAAUAUGUCAGCGGCGGACGGGUGAAUAACACGUGGGAACAUGCCCUUUGGUACGGAACAACUCAGGGAAACUUGAGCUAAUACCGUAUGUGCCGGUAACGGGAAAGAUUUAUCGCCAAAGGAUUGGCCCGCGUCCGAUUAGCUAGUUGGUGAGGUAACGGCUCACCAAGGCGACGAUCGGUAGCUGGUUUGAGAGAACGGAUCAGCCACACUGGGACUGAGACACGGCCCAGACUCCUACGGGAGGCAGCAGUUGGGAAUCUUGGACGAUGGGGAAACCCUGAUCCAGCCAUGCCGCGUGAGCGAU